GACGAACGCUGGCGGCGUGCUUAACACAUGCAAGUCGAACGGUGAAGCUCCAGCUUGCUGGAGUGGAUCAGUGGCGAACGGGUGAGUAACACGUGAGCAACCUGCCCCUGACUCUGGAAUAAGCGCUGGAAACGGCGUCUAAUACUGGAUACGAGAAGGGUCCGCAUGGGCACCUUCUGGAAAGUUUUUCGGUUGGGGAUGGGCUCGCGGCCUAUCAGCUUGUUGGUGAGGUAAUGGCUCACCAAGGCGACGACGGGUAGCCGGCCUGAGAGGGCGACCGGCCACACGGGGACUGAGACACGGCCCAGACUCCUACGGGAGGCAGCAGUGGGGAAUAUUGCACAAUGGGCGAAAGCCUGAUGCAGCGACGCCGCGUGAGGGAUGACGGCCUUCGGGUUGUAAACCUCUUUCAGCAGGGAAGAAGCGAAAGUGACGGUACCUGCAGAAGAAGCACCGGCUAACUACGU
This 467-nucleotide ribosomal RNA is filed under the name uncultured bacterium. RNAcentral describes it as "partial 16S ribosomal RNA". It matches the Rfam family "Bacterial small subunit ribosomal RNA", at positions 28 to 506 of the family's 1533-position model. The record is from RNAcentral.